Molecule: ribosomal RNA, 726 nt
Filed under: Triticum aestivum (bread wheat)
Lineage: Eukaryota; Viridiplantae; Streptophyta; Magnoliopsida; Poales; Poaceae
Description: partial small subunit ribosomal RNA
Source: RNAcentral
AUGGAGAUUGCGUCCCUGGUGAACUUGCUCAGGGAGAAGCAGUCUGACGUUCUUUCGCUCGAUCCUGAGACCGUGAGGAAAAUCACGUCCCUGAGGAGUGAGAUCGCGUGCCAGAAGUCGGCAAGGGAGCGGCAAGCCUUGGUUCCGGAGGUCAAACGCACAGUGCCGCGGAGCAAGAUCUCCAGGAGUAUAUACGAUCAUACCUGCAAUGCUGAUAAACAGAUGGCUGGCCAGUAUGCUGAGGACCAGAGGACCAAGGAGUAUGUGGAGACGACUGAUCAGGUGGACAAAGGCAAAUCCAGCACCCACUGUCUUAACCAGAGGAGCAAGGAAGAGGUGGAUGAAUCUGUAACAGAUUUGACAAUGGACCUUUGUAAAUCAUACAUGGAGGCGCACCAGAUGGCUGCUGAUAGCCAGAUGAUUGAUCUCACGAUGGACAAAGGCCAAUCAAGCACGGAGACGCAUGCCUCGAGGAUGAUAGACGCCGGAAAAUCAACUAGUGAAGGAGAAUCAAGUAACGAAGGCCAAUCAAGCACGGAGACGCAUGCGUCAAGGAUGAUGGACCAAGGAAAAUCAAGUAGUGAAGGCCAAUCAAGCACGGAGAUGCGUGCGUUUAGGAUGAUGGACCAACGAAAACUCGCUGGCGUGGACGAGCUCGCCUGCACACGGUAUCACGAUGCGUCCGUGAACAUGGUUAAACGGAGAGUGGCAUUUUGGCACAUGUGA